This 255-nucleotide ribosomal RNA is filed under the name uncultured bacterium. RNAcentral describes it as "partial 16S ribosomal RNA". It matches the Rfam family "Bacterial small subunit ribosomal RNA", at positions 524 to 776 of the family's 1533-position model. The record is from RNAcentral.
UACGGAGGGAGCUAGCGUUGUUCGGAAUUACUGGGCGUAAAGCGCACGUAGGCGGCUUUGUAAGUUAGAGGUGAAAGCCCGGGGCUCAACCCCGGAAUUGCCUUUAAGACUGCAUCGCUUGAAUCCGGGAGAGGUGAGUGGAAUUCCGGAGUGUAGAGGUGAAAUUCGUAGAUAUUCGGAAGAACACCAGUGGCGAAGGCGGCUCACUGGACCGGUAUUGACGCUGAGGUGCGAAAGCGUGGGGAGGCAAACAGG